RNAcentral lists this ribosomal RNA (201 nucleotides) under uncultured bacterium. RNAcentral describes it as "partial 16S ribosomal RNA". It matches the Rfam family "Bacterial small subunit ribosomal RNA", at positions 1292 to 1500 of the family's 1533-position model. The record is from RNAcentral.
UUCGGAUCGGAGCCUGCAACCCGGCUCCGUGGAGCUGGAUUCGCUAGUAAUCGCGCAUCAGCCAUGGCGCGGUGAAUACGUUCCCGGGCCUUGUACACACCGCCCGUCAAGCCAUGGGAGCCGGGGGCGCCUGAAGUGCGGUACCGCGAGGGCCGCCCAAGGGCGAGACCGGUGACUGGGGCUAAGUCGUAACAAGGUACC